GUAUUUGCUAUGAAACACAAUAAAGUAAAAAAAAUUGAAAAUUUGUUUGCCCAGGGCGAGGCUCGGCCAUUGCACAUCCGGUCGUGCUGACCCCUGCGAAUUCCUCAAAUGUGGGAAUCUCGACUGCACAAUUUCUGGUAGUGGGGGACUGCGUUCGCGCUCUCCCCUG
This is a small nuclear RNA of Alosa sapidissima (American shad), 169 nucleotides long. RefSeq annotates it as U1 spliceosomal RNA. The record is from RefSeq and is a predicted model, not a curated record. Lineage: Eukaryota; Metazoa; Chordata; Actinopteri; Clupeiformes; Clupeidae. The transcript has a single exon.